This is a non-coding RNA of Acanthosepion pharaonis, 95 nucleotides long. Lineage: Eukaryota; Metazoa; Mollusca; Cephalopoda; Sepiida; Sepiidae. The record is from the annotation of a GenBank genome assembly.
UCAAGUACCGGUUCUUGUACGAUCACUGAAGUUAAGAAACGUUGAGCCUGAUCAGAACCUAGAUAGGUGACCGCUUGGGAAUACCAGGUGCUGGA